AGUAAAUGAGGAUUUAUCUAUGGGUUUGAAAUUCAAAUUUAAAACAUGAUUUCAGAACAUCUUUGAAAUUUUCAGUUGAAAUCUCAAGUUUGAAUAAGCUGUACCGGCCUAAUCUUAACACUAUGAAUCCAAAGCCCAAGUCCAGAUUUUAACCAUGCAAGCUCAAUUCAAAGCAUUAACUACACCAUAUGAGCCAAACGGAGCCUGCAACCACAUCCAAAGCUAAAUCCAAACUACACGGGUCGGAAUCUGGCCUAAACUCAGAUCUACAACCAAUCUAAACCUUAACUAUUCUAACCCACAUAGAGCCUAAGCCCAAAUAUAGCUUUUUAAAUCAAACUCAGGCUUGAUUCUAAACCUAAACUAUAUGGGCCUGACUUCAGCCCAAGCCUAAAUCCAAUGGCCAACCUAUAUCUUAACAUAGCUCAUACUAAACCUCACACCUAAGCCUAACCCAAGCUAAACCAAUACGAAACUUGAUCCAAAUCCAAAUCAACAUUUGUCCUGAGCCAUAACUAUAGGACUAUAUCAAUCCAACCUCCAUACCAAGUCCUUAGAAACAAACUAUUCAACCCAACCAUAUUCAAACUCGAUCAAAUUCUAAAUAUAUGUUUAGAAUUGAUCAAAUCGUCUUUUUAUCUUAGUACAUGUGACUAAGGUAAAAAAAAUAAAUUAGAUUUUUACUAAUCAAAUUAAAUCGAUUGGACUCUAAUACAUAUACUUAGAAUUCAAACAAAAGAAACCAAGUUAAACUCUAAUAUGUAUAAUUAGAGUUUAAUUUAAAUCAAUUUUGGAUAGUCCUAAUACAUAUAUUUAGUAUUUAGCCAUCCUUCACCUUAGAGUGAACUCAAAUAUGGUUUGACUCUAAUAUACAUACUUAGAGUUCAAUUAAAUUAAUUAGACUUUAAUAUGUAUAAUUAGAGUUAAUCUAAAUCAAAUCAUCUAAUUCUAAUACAUGUAGAUUUAGCCGUCCUGCACCUUAUAAUGGACUCAAAUCCGAUUGGACUCUGACACAUACAAUUAGAGUCUAAUCAAUUCAAACCCAACUAAAUCCUAAUACAUGUAAGUAGGAUUUAGUUAAAUCUAAUUGGAUUAACCCCUUAAAAUUAUAGGUGUAAUCCAAAUUAAGUUCAAUCGACCGUCAUACUCAUGUCGUUGAACUAAUCAUUUUCUCUUUUUGUACACUAGGGGUAUGUCCGUGGUUAAGCUAUGUAAUUGUAUGGUGAAUUAUGUUAUAAAAUUCAUCUUUUAUUUAAUUUCAGUCUAUUUCAGCAUUACAAAGGUCUCUUAAUCGAAGAUGCCCUAACACUUUGUAGGAGUAAUUAACAAUAAACGCUUGCGUUUAUUGGAAGCCAUGAAUCCACAAUACCUGAUAACCAUAUAUAAUUAAAUAUUAAUCUGAAUCAUGAAUAGAACCCCACGGAAAAUUUAAAAUAGAUUAACCGUGCGAGGUGCGUCAUUCGUGGUCGCAGACAAAGGUAUAAAUAAAUAUCAGGUUCACUAUACAUACAAAGCCGCCAAGAUACAAACAUCCCUCGCUCCAGCGAGUAAAUCAACAUAAGUAUGUACAUGAACCAAAAUACCCCAAAACUAUCUGUAGAUGGUAUUCUUCUAGAACUGCAACCAGGGAAGGGAUUUAGCUCGCGACUCCCUUUCCACGAUCAGAAUCGGCGACAGCAGCAACCGCAGAAGAAGGCUAUGCAAAAAGGGGUCAACAACAGGGUGUGAGAACUACUGCA
Molecule: long non-coding RNA, 1739 nt
Filed under: Ananas comosus (pineapple)
Lineage: Eukaryota; Viridiplantae; Streptophyta; Magnoliopsida; Poales; Bromeliaceae
Description: long non-coding RNA (ACOM_LNC027045)
Source: RNAcentral